UACGUAGGGGCCAAGCGUUGUCCGGAUUUAUUGGGCGUAAAGAGCUCGUAGGCGGUUGGGUAAGUCGGGUGUGAAAACUCCAGGCUCAACUUGGAGAUGCCACCCGAUACUGCUCUGACUUGAGUUCGGUAGGGGAGUGGGGAAUUCCUGGUGUAGCGGUGAAAUGCGCAGAUAUCAGGAGGAACACCGGUGGCGAAGGCGGGUCUCUGGGCCGUAACUGACGCUGAGGGACGAAAGCUAGGGGAGCGAAUGGG
RNAcentral lists this ribosomal RNA (254 nucleotides) under uncultured bacterium. Its description in RNAcentral is "partial 16S ribosomal RNA". It matches the Rfam family "Bacterial small subunit ribosomal RNA", at positions 524 to 776 of the family's 1533-position model. The record is from RNAcentral.